RNAcentral lists this unclassified non-coding RNA (219 nucleotides) under uncultured fungus. RNAcentral's name for it is "sequence contains ITS1". The record is from RNAcentral. Lineage: Eukaryota; Fungi.
GUAUUAAGUUUUUAUGGCAAAGCCAUUAAAAUGACAUUCUAUAACUUUUGUAUGUAUAUGAAAACGUAGUCUCCAAUGAACCAGUCAAUGACCAAUUCAAAACAGACUACAAAAGGUGCACAAGAGAUAAUAAAUUUUGAAUGCGAGCACAUACCCCGAAAGGUCAGCAUCAACACUCUUAAUUCAAUAAUGAUCCUUCCGCAGGUUCACCUACGGAAA